Molecule: long non-coding RNA, 1098 nt
Filed under: Vulpes vulpes (red fox)
Lineage: Eukaryota; Metazoa; Chordata; Mammalia; Carnivora; Canidae
Description: lncRNA (ENSVVUG00000000987.1)
Source: RNAcentral
AUAAGACUUCUGAUUUGUAUUAUAUUCAUUUUGUCUAUUAAUUUGGGGAGGAUUGACUCUUUUAUAAUAUUAACUUCCAAUUCUGGAUAGAUAUCCAGAAUAUCCUCCCCUUAGGUGCAGGGUACAUGUUCCAAGACCCCCAAAGGAUGCUUGAAUUCACAGAUACCACCAAACCUACAUUUUUUCCUAUACAUACUUGUGAUAAAUUUUAAUUUAUAAAUUAGAUACAAUAAGAGGUUAACAAUAAUUAGUAAUAAAAUAGAACAAUUAAAACAAUAUGUUACAAUAAAAGUGUGACUGCGGUCUCUCUCUCUCUCUCUCUCUCUCUUUCAAAAUAUCUUAUUGAAUAUAGACACCCUUCUUGUGAUGUUGUGAGAUAAAAUGCCUGCAUGUUGAGAUGAAGUGAAGUGAAUGACUAGGCAUUAUGAUGUAGUGUUAGGCAACUGCUGGCCUUCUGACAAUAUGUCAGAAGGAGUAUCAUCUGCUUCAGGCCACAGUUGACCAUGGGCAACUGAAAUUAAAGAAAGCAAAACUGUAGAGGAGGAGGGAAUACUGUAUAGAAUUUUUCAUCACAUGUUUUUUUAAAACUCCAAAUCGAGGUUUCUCGACCACCACCACCAACCCCCACCAACACCAACUCCCACCAACACCAGUAUCCAUUUACCAUUUGGAGGAAAAAGGCUCCCAAGUAUCUGUACCAUUUUCUUUGGUAAGGAAUCUCAUGCUCAGUGAAUCAGGUAAGGCCUGCCUCUCACUAUAUGAACUAAAAAAGCAAAAUGCUUCUCUUCCCAACCCCCUUGAGCUGGGUUAUGGGCACUUGAAUUAGACUCAGCUAAUCAGAUGUGCCCCCAUUUGGACUCUGAGAUAAUGAACCAAAGAUGGAGGACCAAUGAAGAAUUCAUACUUUGACAACGGCACAACAUUCUUCUUCCAGAGAUAAUAUUGCCAUAGCACCGUCCAUAACUGAAUAGAGGAAAAUUCUAUGCAAGCUAUGGAAUAUAGCCUCAACCUCAGAGCAGCACUUGCUCUCCAGACUAAUUUUAUGGUAUGAAUGUCAUGUAAUUCUGAUUGCCUGGCAUCCUUUUUUUUUUUUUUUUU